GCCAGACUCCUACGGGAGGCAGCAGUGGGGAAUAUUGGGCAAUGGGCGCAAGCCUGACCCAGCAACGCCGCGUGAAGGAAGAAGGCUUUCGGGUUGUAAACUUCUUUUCUGAGGGACGAAGAAAGUGACGGUACCUCAGGAAUAAGCCACGGCUAACUACGUGCCAGCAGCCGCGGUAAUACGUAGGUGGCAAGCGUUAUCCGGAUUUAUUGGGUGUAAAGGGCGUGUAGGCGGGAAAGCAAGUCAGAUGUGAAACCUCAGGGCUCAACCCUGAGCCUGCAUUUGAAACUGUUUUUCUUGAGUGCUGGAGAGGCAAUCGGAAUUCCGUGUGUAGCGGUGAAAUGCGUAGAUAUACGGAGGAACACCAGUGGCGAAGGCGGAUUGCUGGACAGUAACUGACGCUGAGGCGCGAAAGCGUGGGGAGCAAACAGGAUUAGAUCCCCCGGUA
This 448-nucleotide ribosomal RNA is filed under the name uncultured bacterium. RNAcentral's name for it is "bacterial SSU rRNA". It matches the Rfam family "Bacterial small subunit ribosomal RNA", at positions 330 to 792 of the family's 1533-position model. The record is from RNAcentral.